This is a long non-coding RNA of Oncorhynchus keta (chum salmon), 2043 nucleotides long. RefSeq lists it as uncharacterized. NCBI's taxonomy places the organism in Eukaryota, Metazoa, Chordata, Actinopteri, Salmoniformes, Salmonidae. The transcript has 3 exons. The record is from RefSeq and is a predicted model, not a curated record.
AAGACAGGAAGACAAAUCAGAACUGAUCUCAGAAGUGGGGCGCUGGCGUGCAUGAAGUAGAAGCGUUCAUAUCUCGGACACAAAUUUUGAAAUCUUAAUUUACCGUUUCACAAGUUCAACCCUCAAAAAAAAUACACAUUGUUUAGUAUAUUCCCGAGGCACAACUAGCAGUGAAAUAUGGCAGCGAAAACCCAACAGACCAGCUAACGCAAAGUUGACAAAGGCCCAGCAAGCAGAAGCUAGUGCCAUUGAGUACUGACUACAACUCUCCAGAUACCCAGCAACAAGAUCCUGACACUAUUCUUUAAAUUUGAUUUACAGAUCGCCUGGGGCACAAUACUCAAACAUAUUUUACAAGCAAAGCAUGCGUUUAGUGAGUCCGCCAGAUCAGAUGCAGUAGGUAUGACCAGGGAUUCUUUAAAAUCCAUGAAUCAGACCAUUUCCUCUCCUGCUAAGCAUUCAAAAAUGUAACGAGUACUUUGGGUGUCAAGUACAAUAUUUUCUUCAGGAAUGUAGUGGAGUAAAUAUAAAAUGACAGAUUCCCCCAAAAAACUACUUAAGUAGUACUUUAAACUAUUUUUUUUUUUUACAACACUGCUCAUCAGGUGCCAAGCCACACACACCAUAAUUACAAGGGUAAAUCACUUUCAGGAAGAGGAGCUCAUUAUACAACAGGGAGCAAUGGAAUACAAAAAGGUCAAAAGUUUCUCAUCUUCCCCAACUACACCAUGGAGGUGAUUGAGCAACGGCACGCAUUCUGCUACUUGACUCCCUGCUGUGAUGCAGACCAUGAGAGGCAGAGGUGAAAUUACAAGCCUGCAUUUAAAUCACAACGCCAUGACAGGAGCCUUCACCAAGCUCGAAGAUGUUGCAAGCUACGUGUCAAAACUACAGCAAAUCCCCUGGCCACAAAUGUCUGGAAUGUUGACUGAGCAAACAGUGGAUUUUAUGUUUAUUCAUAAAAGACAAGACAAGUAUACAAAUAAAAAUGGCCAACAACCGCAGAGAGGGCUGUUAAGUCCGACUGUUGCUAGCGUAGUAUUGGUCUGUUCUAGCCAUCAUGCACAGCAGUCCUCGUUUUAUGUGAGAUGGGGAGAACAAUGCUUCAUUUGGAGAAGUAGUGGGGAGGGUGGGUUUCUCUGGCGUCCGUUACUGUGUUUUGUCGUUUUCUGCUGCCAGACUGCGGCAUCAGAUCCAACUGGAUUUCUCAAGUUUAUCAAUCACCCUUAUCUUCCAAGGCAAGAGGUGUUGCUAUUCUCUUUUGUAAAAACAGCUAUUUUUAACUCUUGUCCACAGACCCAGACGGACUAAAUCCAGCAGAUUCCUCAAGACGUGGUGUCAGUCUGACUGAAUACUGACUAGGAACGCUUAGUUGUUGCCUCAACUUGUGAAAAAAGGCUAUCACAUCUGGAAGGACGUUUGAGACCGAUCCCAGAACAGCUAACUACACCGUGCAGGGAGAAUGGUUUACAUAGAACCUCAACCUUAAGGAGGCAGCCAAAAGCCAUACUGCAGAAAAAAAGAAAAUCCAGUUACCUUUAUAUUCAAUGCUCUUGUGAUCUGUAGGUUUGUCAGCAUCAGAUCCUUUCCUUCCUUUAGAGCUAGCGAUGACAGCCACUGGAAAGAUAAGUACAUGUAAGAGAGGGGUUGCUGUGUGGGGAGGCCUGUUGGGGUUUGUUGGAGGUGAGACGUGUCAGUUAACAAUGGGAGGAGGUGAGCGAGUGGGAAUCAGUAGGUGGGACUGUGUGUAAUAUAUAUAUAUAUAAAAUGGAAAUUGAAUUUAAACCGAAGGCAAUAUUCACCCAAGUUUUAAAUUACGAAAUACAAUUUAGGAAUUCAAAUGAUUAAAUGUGUGCAUUAGAAAAUAAAACAUGGGAUUAAAAUAUAAUCUGUUGGCAAUGAAAUUGGUCCAGACACUGUUAAACUAGGUGUCAAGUUUGUUUAAUAAAAUGUGCAAUAAGCAUUUAACACAAUAAGGUAGGCCACUUGAUUUCAACAUCUGAACAAAGUGGACAGGCUAGCAUGCUGUUUAAACGGUUGAAG